CGAAUAUUUUUGAAUCAACAUUUACUCAUCAAAUGCUCUAGUCUGAAUCUUAUUUUAAAUGAAUUUAAUGAUAUGUUUAAUGAGCAAUAUUAAUUGCACACAGAGUAAGUAGAGAUUAUCUUGUUUUACAGAAGAGAAGAUCAAGGAAAUUAUUUGUUCAGGAUGAGGAAUGAAGACGGCCAUCUUGUGCCCAAACGAAGACAGAAAGCUGUCCACUGAUGAUCUCAUCAGCCAAAUGAGGGGUUUUGACCAAGUGAUGGUCUUGAAAGGAAUGAAAGAAGAGGAUGUGGUAAAUUGUCUUCAAAGAAAAAGCUUCUCAAAAGGUCUUAAAACAGCUUGAAGAAUGGUAUGUGUCCAGUACUUCAAGGGUCAUAGUUGUUCACACUGCUAAAAUCACACAGAACAUUAAACUGUCUGACUGUCCAUUAAACAACUUCAUCUGAAUUGUUUGUGUUUUUUGUUUUACUUUGACCAGGUCUGGGAACUGUCUGAAAAUGGGAUGUUAGGACUGAGAGAUCCUCUGGCUGAGAAAAAGCUACACCAGAUCAGUGCUGGAUAUCAACCACAAACUGUUUCCAGACACGAGAGAAGAAGAUCAUGAUGGGGAAAUGAAACCAGUUUAGAUGUGAUGAUAAGGAAUCAUUAUUUUCUGAAACAGUAUCACAUGUCUUAUAUGUAUCACAUGAUCUGUAUCACAGUUGCCUGGAUGGGAUUGUGUGACUUUUAAGGACAUUUCAUUACUCAUCUGUGUGAACUGAUUAAUUUAUGAUAUUAAUGAAUUUUUGAUGAUCCAUUAUUAUUUUCCUUGAAUCUUAUUUGUCUUGAUGCUACUUUAUCAACUUUAUAGUCUAUGCUUCAAUAAAAUUAAUAUGAUGAAUAUUGUGUAUUGAAAAUUCUUGGUAAAUACAUAAUUUUACUAGGUGGUCUCAUAUGUGUUUAUUUUAUACUUGGAAAAACUACGUUAUUAAUUACCGGAAUUAUUUUUUACUUAAGACAUAAACAUUUUUGAUCAGAUUAAUGACAUCUGGAACAACAAUAC
Molecule: long non-coding RNA, 1039 nt
Organism: Cyprinus carpio carpio
Lineage: Eukaryota; Metazoa; Chordata; Actinopteri; Cypriniformes; Cyprinidae
Source: Ensembl